ACGCUCGACACCUACGUGAGGCAGCAGUGGGGAAUAUUGCACAAUGGGGGAAACCCUGAUGCAGCGACGCCGCGUGAGCGAAGAAGUAUUUCGGUAUGUAAAGCUCUAUCAGCAGGGAAGAAACUGACGGUACCUGACUAAGAAGCACCGGCUAAAUACGUGCCAGCAGUCGCGGUAAUCUGAGGCGGGCUGGCAAGGC
Molecule: ribosomal RNA, 199 nt
Filed under: uncultured bacterium
Lineage: Bacteria
Description: partial 16S ribosomal RNA
Rfam family: Bacterial small subunit ribosomal RNA
Source: RNAcentral